This 74-nucleotide transfer RNA is filed under the name Scleropages formosus (Asian bonytongue). RNAcentral describes it as "tRNA-Pro". Lineage: Eukaryota; Metazoa; Chordata; Actinopteri; Osteoglossiformes; Osteoglossidae. The record is from RNAcentral.
ACAGCUGGUGGCAUAGUGGUUAGAGCUGCUGCCUUGGGUGCAGUGGGUCUGGGGUUUGAGUCCCCCUUGCGGUG